CUGGAACUGAGACACGGUCCAGACACCUACGGGUGGCAGCAGUCGAGAAUCAUUCACAAUGGGGGAAACCCUGAUGGUGCGACGCCGCGUGGGGGAAUGAAGGUCUUCGGAUUGUAAACCCCUGUCAUGUGGGAGCAAAUUAAAAAGAUAGUACCACAAGAGGAAGAGACGGCUAACUCUGUGCCAGCAGCCGCGGUAAUACAGAGGUCUCAAGCGUUGUUCGGAAUCACUGGGCGUAAAGCGUGCGUAGGCUGUUUCGUAAGUCGUGUGUGAAAGGCGCGGGCUCAACCCGCGGACGGCACAUGAUACUGCGAGACUAGAGUAAUGGAGGGGGAACCGGAAUUCUCGGUGUAGCAGUGAAAUGCGUAGAUAUCGAGAGGAACACUCGUGGCGAAGGCGGGUUCCUGGACAUUAACUGACGCUGAGGCACGAAGGCCAGGGGAGCGAAAGGGAUUAGAUACCCCUGUAGUCCUGGCAGUAAACGGUGCACGCUUGGUGUGCGGGGAAUCGACCCCCUGCGUGCCGGAGCUAACGCGUUAAGCGUGCCGCCUGGGGAGUACGGUCGCAAGAUUAAAACUCAAAGAAAUUGACGGGGACCCGCACAAGCGGUGGAGUAUGUGGCUUAAUUCGAUGCAACGCGAAGAACCUUACCUGGGCUUGACAUGUAAUGAACAACAUGUGAAAGCAUGCGACUCUUCGGAGGCGUUACACAGGUGCUGCAUGGCCGUCGUCAGCUCGUGUCGUGAGAUGUUUGGUUAAGUCCAGCAACGAGCGCAACCCCUGUUGCCAGUUACCAGCACGUGAAGGUGGGGACUCUGGCGAGACUGCCCAGAUCAACUGGGAGGAAGGUGGGGACGACGUCAGGUCAGUAUGGCCCUUAUGCCCAGGGCUGCACACGUACUACAAUGCCCAGUACAGAGGGGGCCGAAGCCGCGAGGCGGAGGAAAUCCUAAAAACUGGGCCCAGUUCGGACUGUAGGCUGCAACCCGCCUACACGAAGCCGGAAUCGCUAGUAAUGGCGCAUCAGCUACGGCGCCGUGAAUACGUUCCCGGGUCUUGUACACACCGCCCGUCACAUCAUGGAAGCCGGUCGCACCCGAAGUAUCUGAAGCCAACCGCAAGGAGGCAGGGUCCUAAGGUGAGACUGGUAACUGGGAUGAAGUCGUAACAAGGUAGCCGUAGGGGAACCUGCGGCUG
This 1197-nucleotide ribosomal RNA is filed under the name human gut metagenome. Its description in RNAcentral is "bacterial SSU rRNA". It matches the Rfam family "Bacterial small subunit ribosomal RNA", at positions 313 to 1520 of the family's 1533-position model. The record is from RNAcentral.